UGUUGGUGAGGUAACGGCUCACCAAGGCGACGACGGGUAGCCGGCCUGAGAGGGUGACCGGCCACACUGGGACUGAGACACGGCCCAGACUCCUACGGGAGGCAGCAGUGGGGAAUAUUGCACAAUGGGCGCAAGCCUGAUGCAGCAACGCCGCGUGAGGGACGACGGCCUUCGGGUUGUAAACCUCUUUUAGUAGGGAAGAAGCGAAAGUGACGGUACCUGCAGAAAAAGCACCGGCUAACUACGUGCCAGCAGCCGCGGUAAUACGUAGGGUGCAAGCGUUGUCCGGAAUUAUUGGGCGUAAAGAGCUCGUAGGCGGUCUGUCGCGUCUGCUGUGAAAACCCGAGGCUCAACCUCGGGCCUGCAGUGGGUACGGGCAGACUAGAGUGCGGUAGGGGAGAUUGGAAUUCCUGGUGUAGCGGUGGAAUGCGCAGAUAUCAGGAGGAACACCGAUGGCGAAGGCAGAUCUCUGGGCCGUAACUGACGCUGAGGAGCGAAAGCGUGGGGAGCGAACAGGAUUAGAUACCCUGGUAGUCCACGCCGUAAACGUUGGGCGCUAGAUGUGGGGACCAUUCCACGGUUUCCGUGUCGCAGCUAACGCAUUAAGCGCCCCGCCUGGGGAGUACGGAAUCUCUAGAGGAUCC
RNAcentral lists this ribosomal RNA (644 nucleotides) under uncultured Actinomycetes bacterium. RNAcentral's name for it is "bacterial SSU rRNA". It matches the Rfam family "Bacterial small subunit ribosomal RNA", at positions 247 to 912 of the family's 1533-position model. The record is from RNAcentral. Lineage: Bacteria; Bacillati; Actinomycetota; Actinomycetes.